This 422-nucleotide ribosomal RNA is filed under the name uncultured bacterium. Its description in RNAcentral is "partial 16S ribosomal RNA". It matches the Rfam family "Bacterial small subunit ribosomal RNA", at positions 329 to 766 of the family's 1533-position model. The record is from RNAcentral.
GGCCAGACUCCUACGGGAGGCAGCAGUGGGGAAUAUUGGGCAAUGGGCGCAAGCCUGACCCAGCAACGCCGCGUGAAGGAAGAAGGCUUUCGGGUUGUAAACUUCUUUUAAGAGGGAAGAGUAGAAGACGGUACCUCUUGAAUAAGCCACGGCUAACUACGUGCCAGCAGCCGCGGUAAUACGUAGGUGGCAAGCGUUGUCCGGAUUUACUGGGUGUAAAGGGCGUGUAGCCGGGUUGACAAGUCAGAUGUGAAAUCCUGCGGCUUAACCGCAGAACUGCAUUUGAAACUGUUGAUCUUGAGUACUGGAGAGGCAGACGGAAUUCCUAGUGUAGCGGUGAAAUGCGUAGAUAUAAGCAAGAACGCCAGUGGCGAAGGCGGAUUACUGGACGAUAACUGACGGUGAGGCGCGAAAGCGUGGGG